This is a long non-coding RNA of Mustela lutreola (European mink), 635 nucleotides long. RefSeq lists it as uncharacterized. The record is from RefSeq and is a predicted model, not a curated record. NCBI's taxonomy places the organism in Eukaryota, Metazoa, Chordata, Mammalia, Carnivora, Mustelidae. The transcript has 2 exons.
AAUAUGGCUGUCUAUGAACCAGGAGGCAGGCCCUCCCAGAAUAAAAUCUGCAGGUACCUAGUCUUGGAUUUCUCAGCCUCCAGAACGUGGGAGAAGAGUUUAACAGAAGUGCUGGGUGGACCCCGGGGCUGGGAGAGCUGUUUGAUAUGCCCGGAUCCCUGCCACCAUCCUCGCCCUGGCAUGCUGUCUGCAAACUCGGUGAAGAUCAGCUCUGUAUAGGCCUGGAGGUCACGGAGAAGAGUAACGUACUGCCCUAGUGACUCAGGUAAGCCUGUGACGCAGGAGCAGGGCUCUGUCCCCUGCCACCAGGGAGCAUCUCCUGUAUUCACCACUCGUUUUUCGGCUACAGGUGGCGUCACCAUGCAAAGCAGGAACGAAUGGCAGAACAGCAGUGACUCAGAGGACCCCACCCCCUUGCAGGCGCUAUCAACCCAAAACACCGAGCACUCAAACCACCCCGUCCUGAGUCCCAGCCCCUUCCAGCCUUCCCUGGCCUCCUGUCCACUGUCAACACACAAGUCCUAAGGCUGACUUCAAAACCGUUCCACAUCUGCUCCCCAAGCAGAUCGCUGCAGUGAGGGAAACACACAAAGUUCAUGAAUGAAGGGUGAGAAUACAAUAAAAAUUUCCAGCAA